Molecule: ribosomal RNA, 522 nt
Filed under: uncultured bacterium
Lineage: Bacteria
Description: bacterial SSU rRNA
Rfam family: Bacterial small subunit ribosomal RNA
Source: RNAcentral
GAUCCUGGCUCAGGAUGAACGUUGGCGGCGUGCCUAACACAUGCAAGUCGAACGGAAAUAGCAAUAUUUGAGUGGCGCACGGGUGAGUAACACGUAGCUAAUCUACCUCAAAGCGCGGGAUAACGUGUCGAAAGACAGGCUAAUACCGCAUAAGCUCCCGAUCUGUAGAGGGUUGGGAGAAAAGGCGCAAGUCACUUUGAGAUGAGGCUGCGGCCCAUCAGCUAGUUGGUGCGGUAACGGCGUACCAAGGCGACGACGGGUAGGGGACCUGAGAGGGUGACCCCCCACACUGGGACUGAGACACGGCCCAGACUCCUACGGGAGGCAGCAGUGAGGAAUAUUGCACAAUGGGCGAAAGCCUGAUGCAGCGACGCCGCGUGGGUGAAGAAGGUUUUUCGGAUCGUAAAAACCCUUUUCUGUGUGACGAGCAAGGACGGUAGCACAGGAAUAAGUCUCGGCUAACUACGUGCCAGCAGCCGCGGUAAAAACGUAGGAGACAAACGUUAUCCGGAGUUACUGGGC